GACGAACGCUGGCGGCGUGCUUAACACAUGCAAGUCGAACGGAAAGGCCCUGCUUGCCGGGUCCUCGAGUGGCGAACGGGUGAGUAACACGUGGGUGCUCUGCCCUGCACUUCGGGAUAAGCCUGGGAAACUGGGUCUAAUACCGGAUAGGAGCCAUUUUUAGUGUGAUGGUUGGAAAGUUUUUUCGGUGUAGGAUGAGCUCGCGGCCUAACGGCUUGUUGGUGGGGUAAUGGCCUACCAAGGCGGCGACGGGUAGCCGGCCUGAGAGGGUGGACGGCCACAUUGGGACUUAGGGGAGGCCCAGACGCCGACGGGAGGAAGAAGGGGGGAAGAUUGAACAAGGGGUGCCAGCCGGAUGCAGCGACGCCGCGGGGGGGAGGACGGCCUUGGGGUUGGAAACGCGUUUCGCUAGGGACGAAGCUUUUUGUGACGGUACCUAGAGAAGAAGCACCGGCUAACUACGUG
RNAcentral lists this ribosomal RNA (465 nucleotides) under uncultured bacterium. RNAcentral's name for it is "partial 16S ribosomal RNA". It matches the Rfam family "Bacterial small subunit ribosomal RNA", at positions 28 to 507 of the family's 1533-position model. The record is from RNAcentral.